UCCUGACUGACCGAUAGUGAACCAGUACCGUGAGGGAAAGGCGAAAAGAACCCCGGCGAGGGGAGUGAAAAAGAACCUGAAACCGUGUACGUACAAGCAGUGGGAGCACGCUUAGGCGUGUGACUGCGUACCUUUUGUAUAAUGGGUCAGCGACUUAUAUUCUGUAGCAAGGUUAACCGAAUAGGGGAGCCGAAGGGAAACCGAGUCUUAACUGGGCGUUAAGUUGCAGGGUAUAGACCCGAAACCCGGUGAUCUAGCCAUGGGCAGGUUGAAGGUUGGGUAACACUAACUGGAGGACCGAACCGACUAAUGUUGAAAAAUUAGCGGAUGACUUGUGGCUGGGGGUGAAAGGCCAAUCAAACCGGGAGAUAGCUGGUUCUCCCCGAAAGCUAUUUAGGUAGCGCCUCGUGAAUUCAUCUCCGGGGGUAGAGCACUGUUUCGGCAAGGGGGUCAUCCCGACUUACCAACCCGAUGCAAACUGCGAAUACCGGAGAAUGUUAUCACGGGAGACACACGGCGGGUGCUAACGUCCGUCGUGAAGAGGGAAACAACCCAGACCGCCAGCUAAGGUCCCAAAGUCAUGGUUAAGUGGGAAACGAUGUGGGAAGGCCCAGACAGCCAGGAUGUUGGCUUAGAAGCAGCCAUCAUUUAAAGAAAGCGUAAUAGCUCACUGGUCGAGUCGGCCUGCGCGGAAGAUGUAACGGGGCUAAACCAUGCACCGAAGCUGCGGCAGCGACGCUUAUGCGUUGUUGGGUAGGGGAGCGUUCUGUAAGCCUGCGAAGGUGUGCUGUGAGGCAUGCUGGAGGUAUCAGAAGUGCGAAUGCUGACAUAAGUAACGAUAAAGCGGGUGAAAAGCCCGCUCGCCGGAAGACCAAGGGUUCCUGUCCAACGUUAAUCGGGGCAGGGUGAGUCGACCCCUAAGACGAGGCCGAAAGGCGUAGUCGAUGGGAAACAGGUUAAUAUUCCUGUACUUGGUGUUACUGCGAAGGGGGGACGGAGAAGGCUAUGUUGGCCGGGCGACGGUUGUCCCGGUUUAAGCGUGUAGGCUGGUUUUCCAGGCAAAUCCGGAAAAUCAAGGCUGAGGCGUGAUGACGAGGCACUACGGUGCUGAAGCAACAAAUGCCCUGCUUCCAGGAAAAGCCUCUAAGCAUCAGGUAACAUCAAAUCGUACCCCAAACCGACACAGGUGGUCAGGUAGAGAAUACCAAGGCGCUUGAGAGAACUCGGGUGAAGGAACUAGGCAAAAUGGUGCCGUAACUUCGGGAGAAGGCACGCUGAUAUGUAGGUGAAGUCCCUUGCGGAUGGAGCUGAAAUCAGUC
RNAcentral lists this ribosomal RNA (1319 nucleotides) under Shigella sonnei. Its description in RNAcentral is "partial 23S ribosomal RNA". It matches the Rfam family "Bacterial large subunit ribosomal RNA", at positions 474 to 1788 of the family's 2925-position model. Lineage: Bacteria; Pseudomonadati; Pseudomonadota; Gammaproteobacteria; Enterobacterales; Enterobacteriaceae. The record is from RNAcentral.